Molecule: long non-coding RNA, 1635 nt
Organism: Bos taurus (domestic cattle)
Lineage: Eukaryota; Metazoa; Chordata; Mammalia; Artiodactyla; Bovidae
Source: Ensembl
GUAGAAGUGGGGAGCCCAGUGAAUAAGGGCAUUUAAGGACCCAUGGGAUUGACUGGAGGAACACGAAGGAUUUGUGCCCGAAGCUGGUGCCGCAGGUGGCCUGAGCUGCUGCUGGAGCAGGGCCCUGCCAGCCCAGGCCUUUCUGUCCACCCCUCCUCUGAAGACCGUCCUCUCCCAGCCCACGGCCCUGGGUUUGGGGCUGGCAGACAAGCCAGAGCUCACAGAGGGCCCCUUUGGCAACAUCCAUUUGGGAACCCUGAAUAAAUUCUUCAGGAAGAAGAAAACCAUCUUUCCAAGAGGUGGCAGGUUUAGAAGCAUGGGCUAUUGGAGAUGAGGAUGAAAAGCCUUGACAAGAAUUUUACUUGAAUUUCAAACUCCUUGGAAGAAUGACCUAAAACAUUUUUGGGUUAUGUAUGUAUUAUCUUUUUAAGGUCUGAUGCAGAACAAGAAUUGAUGAUGUAAUUGCAUCGCUCUGUCCCCCAGCCCAGCGUUUGGCCUUUGGUGCUGCCCCCUGGCAUGGGGGUAUUUCCCAUUCCACCUCCUGGGAGGACGAACAUCCUCACAGGGGCAUCCGAGAGUCCAGAGCCCCUGGCCUGGGACAGCAAGGCACAGGACAAGCGAGCCUGCAGGCCUUCCCAGGUCCUGUACCUCUGUGGUCACCCUGCCAUCUGAGUGUAAUGGGUCUCAGUCUCGGGGAGCUUAGGCCAGUCCUUCCCACUGUGGGUUGAGUCCAGGACUGGAGGAGAAGACAAUACAAUCAGGUCGAUACUUGUCGGGGUGUGGCUGUGGCUGAGGGCAGAAUCAGUGCCCCAUCAGCCUGGGUCUACAACGUGAACUUCUUUUAUCUUCAGAAGAGCACAAAACUGAUCACCUAAAAUAACAAAGUUAGACAAGAUUUCUAAUGGUUUGCUUGUUUCAUCAUGAGAGGAUGUGACUUAGGCUGUCCUAUUUUCCAGGUGUAUGUGUUGUGAAAUCGAGUGACAGUGAACAGUGCAAGUUACCACUGAGUGUGAACGAUCUCUGUGUUAAAGAGUGUGCACUGAGCAAGCCUUCCUGCUCAGCUGGGCCGCAUGGAUCCCUGAAGUGCCCCGGAGGUGGCUGAGCUGAGCCGGCAGGGCCGCGGCUGUACCGUGCCAUCUCUGUGUGGUGGACGCGGAGCUGAGGGCUGCAGAGAAGAUGCCUCUGGUGAGUUUACAGUUGAUAUUUACACCCAUUCUCUAAAGGUUUCCCUUCUUUUUCUUCAUAAGAAAUUAUCCAGCUGUGACCACGUGUUGAAUGGCAAAACAAGAUCCAGGAGUGGGGUUUAGGGAGAGGAGCUGGUGGUACCCCCUUACAUUUCAAAGCCAUGAACAUCCGUUUCCAGUCCAAGUGCAGACAAAUGAGCCCUUUGAGCUACCGACUGACCAAGCUCAUGGGCCUGAGAUGGGCUUUCAGCGCUGCUGGACUAGACCAGUCUCAUCUGACCCGACAGCUUGUACUGGUUCUGUUUGCUGUCCUCAAAAGAUGGAGCACCUAGCACAGACGUUUGCAUGAAGUAUGUGUAUGCACACGACAUUGUUCAUUAACACAGCACUACCUGAUACCUCGAGCCUGUAGGUCACAAGUGACUGGAAGCUCUCAUAAGGGCAGGUUUUC